AGUGAACGCUGGCGGUAGGCCUAACACAUGCAAGUCGAACGGCAGCACAGUAAGAGCUUGCUCUUACGGGUGGCGAGUGGCGGACGGGUGAGGAAUACAUCGGAAUCUACUUUUUCGUGGGGGAUAACGUAGGGAAACUUACGCUAAUACCGCAUACGACCUACGGGUGAAAGCAGGGGAUCUUCGGACCUUGCGCGAUUGAAUGAGCCGAUGUCGGAUUAGCUAGUUGGCGGGGUAAAGGCCCACCAAGGCGACGAUCCGUAGCUGGUCUGAGAGGAUGAUCAGCCACACUGGAACUGAGACACGGUCCAGACUCCUACGGGAGGCAGCAGUGGGGAAUAUUGGACAAUGGGCGCAAGCCUGAUCCAGCCAUACCGCGUGGGGGAAGAAGGCCUUCGGGUUGUAAAGCCCUUUUGUUGGGAAAGAAAAGCAGCAGGUUAAUACCCCGCUGUUCUGACGGUACCCAAAGAAUAAGCACCGGCUAACUUCGU
This 491-nucleotide ribosomal RNA is filed under the name uncultured bacterium. Its description in RNAcentral is "partial 16S ribosomal RNA". It matches the Rfam family "Bacterial small subunit ribosomal RNA", at positions 29 to 506 of the family's 1533-position model. The record is from RNAcentral.